UGGCACUUGAGAAACUGUGCAAAACAGCAGCCUAGACAUCAGACUACCUGGCCAGCAGCUGGGGGAAAUGAAGCUGUGCUGAGCUUGGGGAGGUCUUUUCACCUGAGCAAGGUGGUAAAGGAUGAUCACAUGCUCUUAGCAUGGUGAUGCAUCCUCAACCAACACGUGAGUUUGUUCCCUGGUUUGGACAGACCUGCUUCCUAUCUGUGGAUGUGUUUUCCCAAUCACUGGAAGAUGCAACUUAAUUCAUGGCAAUUUACUCAUUUGUUCAUUUGAUAUCUUUCUGGAGACACAUUCCCUGGAGGGCAGAGGAAACUGGAACUGUCUGCUGAAAUUAAUGGCUUUCUGCCUCAAAGGAACUGGAAGGAGGGCCUCCCAGGUGACCAAGGAAUCCACGGUCUCCCAGGUAAACUGUAAGAGCAUGGAGGUAUGAACACAUCACGCAAGGCUAUGGGUGAGUCGAGAUGGGAUUUGUGACUGGAGAGAGCCUCCGGGCCAGGCUGUGGUAAACACCAUCCAGGAUCCAAAACAAGAUGUGAGGAGAAGCGCAUUUCCUCUGGAGUCAUCUUCUGCCUCAUCCAAAACACUUUGCGUUUGAAAAAACACACACUCACUCUCUCUCUCUGAAGAGACCAGCCAAGAUCUGACCCCAGCCAAGAUCCAAAAAGGAGAGUGAGGGAAUAAAUGGGAUGAUUUGGACACAGAUGUUUGAAUAGAUUUCUCCUUAGGAGAGUUGAAUGGCUUAGGGAGACGGCAGAUAGAAACAUGCGCACAUAUACACAUCACUACCAAGGAUAAAGUCGGGUUGGUGCUAAUUUCUCCUUGUAUUGCAUUUCUUAAUCUUUGCUCUCGAAUGGGUCUUCCAG
Molecule: long non-coding RNA, 866 nt
Filed under: Homo sapiens (human)
Lineage: Eukaryota; Metazoa; Chordata; Mammalia; Primates; Hominidae
Description: HSALNT0054929
Source: RNAcentral